CAAUAGCGUAUAUUAAAGUUGUUGCAGUUAAAAAGCUCGUAGUUGGAUUUCUGGUAGGAGCGACCGUGCCGAACUUGAUUGCUCGAGUAUUGUGUUGUCUUCAGCCAUCCUCGUGGAGAACUUUUCUAACAUUAACUUGUUGGGAUUGGGACCCGCGUCGUUUACUGUGAAAAAAUUAGAGUGUUUAAAGCAGGCAUUAGCUUGAAUACAUUAGCAUGGAAUAAUAAGAUAGGACUUUGGUACUAUUUUGUUGGUUUGCAUACCAAAUUAAUGAUCAACAGGAACAGUUUGAGGAUAUUCGUAUGAACAUGUCAGAGGUGAAAUUCUUGGAUUUUGAUCAGACGAACUACUGCGAAAGCAUUUAUCAAGGAUGUUUUCAUUAA
Molecule: ribosomal RNA, 383 nt
Filed under: uncultured eukaryote
Lineage: Eukaryota
Description: partial 18S ribosomal RNA
Rfam family: Eukaryotic small subunit ribosomal RNA
Source: RNAcentral